CUUCUUGACUACAAAACAAAGUAUUACAGUAUUAACUUUCUUCUUACAAUUAUAAAAUUAGUUAAUACUAAAAGCACAAAUUACAAUUAUUCAAAAUCUUAAAUACUUAACCUUAUUCAAGAAAAUAUUCUAGUAGAAUAAAAAUUCAGUUAGCACCAAUAAUUACAAUUCAACAGCUACACACUGACCAACAGAAUUGAAAAUUAGCUUGCAGUAGUCUUUUAUACAUUGCUGAUUUGCAUAGUAUACAUGUUUACACAAAAUAUUCUCUGACUUAAUUUGUCUCUCUACCAACAUUCAUAUAGAAAAUUAGUUAUAUUCAUAAAUACAGGAAUAAAUCUUAAAACAUUAACUUAGUGGAAUAUAAUUUUAUUCAUUAUUCAAAUCUUACUAUGAAAUUAUGCAAAUGAAACUAUAGUUGGAAAGUACAGUAUGAUUUAAUGUGUCAAUCUCCAAAACUCAAAAUGGAAAAUAAUUAGUGCAAGUAAUUAAUUCAGCUAUAAAUCAAAAGUUCUCUAUCUCAUAAAUGAAAUAUGAUAAAACCUACGUCUACAUCUAAAAAGUAUUCUGGACAUAUUUCUGGACUUUUUAAUAGAAAGAAGAUUGAAUCUAUAGGCAAGAUGACGCAAAUGACUCAGGAAGAAAUUAUUACCAAUGCAAAAACUGUAAUACAGGGUUUGGAAGCUCUCAGGAAUGAACAUAAUUCCAUUUUAAAUGGAUUAAUGUCUUCGUUGAAAGCAGUACAACAAGAGAAAGGGGAGGGAAAUUUAAUGGAAGAAAAAGCAUCUCUAGUCAGAAAGAAUUUGGAAUCGAUAGAACUUAGUUUAGGAGAAGCACAAGUGAGUACUUCUUAAAUUAAUUUCGUCUAAAUUUAAAUAUAUUUUGGAAUGUAAUUAAUGUUUUUCCAUCAGUUUUUUGGGUUUUUUUUUAAUAGUUU
This 937-nucleotide unclassified non-coding RNA is filed under the name Centruroides sculpturatus (bark scorpion). RNAcentral describes it as "kinesin light chain-like, transcript variant X3". The record is from RNAcentral. Lineage: Eukaryota; Metazoa; Arthropoda; Arachnida; Scorpiones; Buthidae.